UACAGAGGGGGCAAGCGUUGUUCGGAAUUACUGGGCGUAAAGGGCGCGUAGGCGGCCUUCUAAGUCGAACGUGAAAUCCCCGGGCUCAACCCGGGAACUGCGUCCGAUACUGGAAGGCUUGAAUCCGGGAGAGGGAUGCGGAAUUCCAGGUGUAGCGGUGAAAUGCGUAGAUAUCAGGAAGAACACCCGUGGCGAAAGCGGCUCUCUGGGACGGUACUGACGCUGAGACGCGAAAGCGUGGGGAGCGAACAGG
This 253-nucleotide ribosomal RNA is filed under the name uncultured bacterium. Its description in RNAcentral is "partial 16S ribosomal RNA". It matches the Rfam family "Bacterial small subunit ribosomal RNA", at positions 524 to 776 of the family's 1533-position model. The record is from RNAcentral.